UAUCGGGCGAGGCGAACGGAGCAAGAGAGAGAAGUGCGAACACACACUUUCUCUCUCUUUCUCUCAUAGCCACGUUUCGUGUAUCUAAGACUCAGUGCAGGUCUAUUGCUAGGGAAGUUUCACUUCAGUCGUGUACGGUCACUUAUAACACUU
Long non-coding RNA from Melitaea cinxia (Glanville fritillary), 153 nucleotides. RefSeq lists it as uncharacterized. NCBI's taxonomy places the organism in Eukaryota, Metazoa, Arthropoda, Insecta, Lepidoptera, Nymphalidae. The record is from RefSeq and is a predicted model, not a curated record. The transcript is spliced from 3 exons.